GACGUCGAUAUUCGACGUAAUAAACACGAUCAACUUUGUUGUUUAUGACGUCGAUAUUCGACGUCAUAAAUACGAUCAACUUUGGUGUUUAUGACGUCGAUAUACGACCUCAUAAACACGAUCAACUUUGGUGUUUAUGACGUUGAUAUUCGACGUCAUAAACACAAUCAACUUUGGUAUUUAUGACGUCGAUAUUCGACGUAAUAAACACGUUCAACUUUGGUGUUUAUGACGUCGAUAUUCGACGUC
RNAcentral lists this microRNA precursor (249 nucleotides) under Paramuricea clavata. Lineage: Eukaryota; Metazoa; Cnidaria; Anthozoa; Malacalcyonacea; Plexauridae. The record is from RNAcentral.